Molecule: unclassified non-coding RNA, 346 nt
Filed under: Basidiomycota sp.
Lineage: Eukaryota; Fungi; Basidiomycota
Description: partial contains small subunit ribosomal RNA, internal transcribed spacer 1, and 5.8S ribosomal RNA
Rfam family: Eukaryotic small subunit ribosomal RNA (bases 1-47)
Source: RNAcentral
AAAGUCGUAACAAGGUUUCCGUAGGUGAACCUGCGGAAGGAUCAUUACCAAAAGAAAAAAAAACCCCCCUUUAAAAGAUAGUCGAGUACUUGUGGAGUUUACUUCAAAAAGGCUCGGUUAUUUUUUAUUAAACACCUUGUGAACUCAAUGUACCGUCCUUGGGGGGAGGGAGGGAGGUUCGAACGGAGAAAUCCAGGAAAACCGCGCCCCACCCCCCCCAACAGUCUUUGAAUCGUUCUUUGGACGAGGAUAGGCAACAACUUUACGAAACACAAUCUCAACCAUUGAUGGAAACUUUUUUGAUGAAAAUCAUAAACAACUUUUAACGGUGGAUCUCUUGGCUCGU